RNAcentral lists this ribosomal RNA (440 nucleotides) under uncultured bacterium. RNAcentral describes it as "partial 16S ribosomal RNA". It matches the Rfam family "Bacterial small subunit ribosomal RNA", at positions 338 to 795 of the family's 1533-position model. The record is from RNAcentral.
CCUACGGGAGGCAGCAGUGGGGAAUAUUGCACAAUGGGGGAAACCCUGAUGCAGCGACGCCGCGUGAGUGAAGAAGUAAUUCGUUACGUAAAGCUCUAUCAGCAGGGAAGUAAAUGACGGUACGUGAGUAAGUAGCCCCGGCUAACUACGUGCCAGCAGCCGCGGCAAUACGGAGGGGGCCAGCGUUAUCCGGAUUUACUGGGUGUAAAGGGAGCGUAGGCGGUGUGCCAAGUCCGGAGUGAAAUGCCGCAGCUUAACUGCGGAAUUGCAUUGGAAACUGGCGAACUGGAGUGCAGGAGAGGUAAGCGGAAUUCGUAGUGUAGCGGUGAAAUGCGUAGAUAUUAGGAGGAACACCGGUGGCGAAGGCGGCUUACUGGACCGUAACUGACGUUGAGGCUCGAAAGCGUGGGGAGCAAACAGGAUUAGAUACCCGGGUAGUC